GGCUACAACUCAGUGGUAGAGCAUCUGCUUUGCACACAGAAGGUCCCAGUUUCAAUUCCUGGCAUCUCCA
RNAcentral lists this transfer RNA (70 nucleotides) under Podarcis lilfordi (Lilford's wall lizard). RNAcentral's name for it is "tRNA.Ala". The stretch from base 7 to 62 matches the Rfam family "tRNA", at positions 9 to 63 of the family's 71-position model. Rfam says of the family: Transfer RNA (tRNA) molecules are approximately 80 nucleotides in length. The record is from RNAcentral. Lineage: Eukaryota; Metazoa; Chordata; Lepidosauria; Squamata; Lacertidae.